GCCCGGUGCCUCUCAGCUGCGGGGCGGUGUUUUUUAAUAAUGCUUCGCCUCAUGGCACGGUUCCCGAGGUCCCGCUGGAAGGGAAGGGUCGGCGAGUGUCACCCCCGGCUGAAUCGGGAUGGAACUAUUGGCGACCCGGUCAUCCAGGCGUGACCUCUGCUCAUCCAGCGGCAUGGCUUAAAUGGGACACCCUGUCCCUGUAAACUCUUCCAUGCUGUUACCUUUGUUCUUUAUUCCUCUUAUUUACUUAAUGUGCUGCCAUUCAAUUAGACUGUUUGUGGACUUCAGCUCGU
Sturnus vulgaris (Common starling) is the source of this 293-nucleotide non-coding RNA. The record is from RefSeq and is a predicted model, not a curated record. Lineage: Eukaryota; Metazoa; Chordata; Aves; Passeriformes; Sturnidae.